RNAcentral lists this ribosomal RNA (995 nucleotides) under uncultured bacterium. RNAcentral's name for it is "bacterial SSU rRNA". It matches the Rfam family "Bacterial small subunit ribosomal RNA", at positions 8 to 1008 of the family's 1533-position model. The record is from RNAcentral.
AGAGUUUGAUCAUGGCUCAGAAUCAACGCUGGCGGCGUGCCUAACACAUGCAAGUCGAGCGAGAAAAGGGGGGCAACUCCCUGAGUACAGCGGCGCACGGGUGAGUAACACGUGGGUAAUCUGCCCUGAAGUGGGGAAUAACACCGGGAAACCGGUGCUAAUACCGCAUACGAUCACGGAGUCUGCGGAUUUUGUGAUGAAAGGAGCAAUUCGCUUUAGGAGGAGCCCGCGGCUGAUUAGCUAGUUGGUGAGGUAAUGGCUCACCAAGGCUGCGAUCAGUAUCCGGUCUGAGAGGACGGUCGGACACACUGGAACUGAGACACGGUCCAGACUCCUACGGGAGGCAGCAGUGGGGAAUUUUUCGCAAUGGGGGCAACCCUGACGAAGCAACGCCGCGUGGGUGAUGAAGUCUCUUGGGACGUAAAACCCUUUCGACGGGGAAGAAACCGCAAGGUUGACGGUACCCGUAGAAGAAGCCCCGGCUAACUCCGUGCCAGCAGCCGCGGUAAUACGGGGGGGGCAAGCGUUGUUCGGAAUUACUGGGCGUAAAGGGUGCGUAGGCGGUUCGUUAAGUUGGAUGUGAAAACUCUGGGCUCAACCCAGAGCCUGCAUCCAAAACUAGCGAGCUAGAGUUCUGGAGGGGAUAGCGGAAUUCCUGGUGUAGCGGUGAAAUGCGUAGAUAUCAGGAGGAACACCGGUGGCGAAGGCGGCUAUCUGGACAGAGUCUGACGCUGAGGCACGAAAGCUAGGGGAGCAAACAGGAUUAGAUACCCUGGUAGUCCUAGCCCUAAACGAUGGAUACUUGGUGUGACUGGGAUUGAAUCCAGUCGUGCCGAAGCUAACGCAUUAAGUAUCCCGCCUGGGGAGUACGGUCGCAAGGCUGAAACUCAAGGAAUUGACGGGGGCCCGCACAAGCGGUGGAGUAUGUGGUUUAAUUCGACGCAACGCGAAGAACCUUACCUGGGCUCGAACGGCUGGUGACAGGUGGCGAAAGU